RNAcentral lists this ribosomal RNA (153 nucleotides) under Trichobilharzia regenti. Its description in RNAcentral is "5.8S ribosomal RNA". It matches the Rfam family "5.8S ribosomal RNA". From Rfam's summary of the family: 5.8S ribosomal RNA (5.8S rRNA) is a component of the large subunit of the eukaryotic ribosome. It is transcribed by RNA polymerase I as part of the 45S precursor that also contains 18S and 28S rRNA. Lineage: Eukaryota; Metazoa; Platyhelminthes; Trematoda; Strigeidida; Schistosomatidae. The record is from Rfam by way of RNAcentral.
CUGGUGUGGUGGUGGAUCAUUCGGUUCGUGUGUCGACGAAGAAUACAGCCAUCUGUUUGAAUCAAUGUUAACUGCAUAUUGCUUUGAACAUCGACAUCUUCAAUACAGAUUGCGGCUAAGGGAUAUCCUGUGUCCACGUCUAUAUGCAGGUCG